RNAcentral lists this long non-coding RNA (297 nucleotides) under Setaria viridis. Its description in RNAcentral is "long non-coding RNA (SVIR_LNC007085)". The record is from RNAcentral. Lineage: Eukaryota; Viridiplantae; Streptophyta; Magnoliopsida; Poales; Poaceae.
UGAAAUCUCCUAGAACUAAUGAUGUGUAUAGUCCUGCUGCACUGUGCAAGAUUAAGAUAAGAAUGUUGUUUGGUUUAGUAUACAUAGCAACAGUACUAUAAAUACAUCAUAUUUUCUAGUGUAUUUUUCAUACUAAGCUGAUGUAAAUUUUAACUAAAUCAAAUGUAAUUUGCCAUUUUUUACCUGGUAACAAAAGUUUUGUUCUUCUUCUUGUGAAUUCCUUAUCUGUUCCAUCAGCAAACCUAUAUAUCCUCCCAUCAAAAACAUAUCUUCACUGUAGAUCGUGUUAAAUUCUCC